CGGACGGGUGAGUAACACGUGGAUAACCUACCUAUAAGACUGGGAUAACUUCGGGAAACCGGAGCUAAUACCGGAUAAUAUAUUGAACCGCAUGGUUCAAUGGUGAAAGACGGUUUUGCUGUCACUUAUAGAUGGAUCCGCGCCGCAUUAGCUAGUUGGUAAGGUAACGGCUUACCAAGGCAACGAUGCGUAGCCGACCUGAGAGGGUGAUCGGCCAUACUGGAACUGAGACACGGUCCAGACUCCUACGGGAGGCAGCAGAG
This 263-nucleotide ribosomal RNA is filed under the name uncultured Staphylococcus sp. RNAcentral's name for it is "partial 16S ribosomal RNA". It matches the Rfam family "Bacterial small subunit ribosomal RNA", at positions 99 to 354 of the family's 1533-position model. Lineage: Bacteria; Bacillati; Bacillota; Bacilli; Caryophanales; Staphylococcaceae. The record is from RNAcentral.